Melanotaenia boesemani (Boeseman's rainbowfish) is the source of this 551-nucleotide long non-coding RNA. RefSeq lists it as uncharacterized. NCBI's taxonomy places the organism in Eukaryota, Metazoa, Chordata, Actinopteri, Atheriniformes, Melanotaeniidae. The transcript has 3 exons. The record is from RefSeq and is a predicted model, not a curated record.
CACUGAUAUCAUGCUGGACAUUACUGGAGGGCAAAGCUCAAAAGCUCUGUGUGGGAUCCAAGGUCUUGUUGGCCACCGAGUAAAGGGAACCAGUUCCUGCCUCAGGCCCUUACGCUGGUACAAGAAACCUGACCGCUCAGCAAUAUCAAGCCAACUAUAUGUGUUACAAACUCCACAUGGACCAAAAUAAGAAAUUGGCCAUGUAGUGUGUUACACACGUUGUGGUGAUUGAGCAACAAAGUGGUGCCACACUCUACUGUGCCCAUCAAAACUAAUUUAACAAUUUAUAAGGACAUGUACAGCUAAAUCCAUCAAGAAUUUAUCUGGUUGGAUGAAAAUGGAGCCAUCCUUUUCUCCAACCCCACCAGAUGCAUUGAUGAGCAAGAGAUUGGGGGACAGGUUUGAGGUCGCUGGUGAUGAAGAAGGCCCUUCCACCUACACUCCCCUCAGCCAUGGACCUCCUACUACUAUUCACAUGCCCCGAUUUUCAUUUUCAAGGACAACAACCUCAACCAGCUUGCAAAGGCCCCCGACCUCCAACAAAAGCCUUC